This 254-nucleotide ribosomal RNA is filed under the name uncultured bacterium. RNAcentral's name for it is "partial 16S ribosomal RNA". It matches the Rfam family "Bacterial small subunit ribosomal RNA", at positions 524 to 776 of the family's 1533-position model. The record is from RNAcentral.
UACGAAGGGGGCUAGCGUUGCUCGGAUUGACUGGGCGUAAAGGGCGCGUAGGCGGCUUGUACAGUCAGACGUGAAAUUCCUGGGCUCAACCUGGGGGCUGCGUUUGAUACGUAUGGGCUUGAGUUCGGAAGAGGGUCGUGGAAUUCCCAGUGUAGAGGUGAAAUUCGUAGAUAUUGGGAAGAACACCCGGUGGCGAAGGCGGCUCACUGGCUCGUUUCUGACGCUCAGGCGCGACAGCGUGGGGAUCAAACAGG